Molecule: ribosomal RNA, 363 nt
Filed under: uncultured Enterobacter sp.
Lineage: Bacteria; Pseudomonadati; Pseudomonadota; Gammaproteobacteria; Enterobacterales; Enterobacteriaceae
Description: bacterial SSU rRNA
Rfam family: Bacterial small subunit ribosomal RNA
Source: RNAcentral
AUUGAACGCUGGCGGCAGGCCUAACACAUGCAAGUCGAACGGUAACAGGAAGCAGCUUGCUGCUUCGCUGACGAGUGGCGGACGGGUGAGUAAUGUCUGGGAAACUGCCUGAUGGAGGGGGAUAACUACUGGAAACGGUAGCUAAUACCGCAUAACGUCGCAAGACCAAAGAGGGGGACCUUCGGGCCUCUUGCCAUCGGAUGUGCCCAGACGGGAUUAGCUAGUAGGUGGGGUAACGGCUCACCUAGGCGACGAUCCCUAGCUGGUCUGAGAGGAUGACCAGCCACACUGGAACUGAGACACGGUCCAGACUCCUACGGGAGGCAGCAGUGGGGAAUAUUGCACAAUGGGCGCAAGCCUGAU